RNAcentral lists this ribosomal RNA (468 nucleotides) under uncultured bacterium. RNAcentral describes it as "partial 16S ribosomal RNA". It matches the Rfam family "Bacterial small subunit ribosomal RNA", at positions 28 to 507 of the family's 1533-position model. The record is from RNAcentral.
GACGAACGCUGGCGGCGUGCUUAACACAUGCAAGUCGAACGGAAAGGCCCUGCUUUUGUGGGGUGCUCGAGUGGCGAACGGGUGAGUAACACGUGAGUAACCUGCCCUUGACUUUGGGAUAACUUCAGGAAACUGGGGCUAAUACCGGAUAGGAGCUCCUGCUGCAUGGUGGGGGUUGGAAAGUUUCGGCGGUUGGGGAUGGACUCGCGGCUUAUCAGCUUGUUGGUGGGGUAGUGGCUUACCAAGGCUUUGACGGGUAGCCGGCCUGAGAGGGUGACCGGCCACAUUGGGACUGAGAUACGGCCCAGACUCCUACGGGAGGCAGCAGUGGAGAGUAUUGCACAAUGGGCGGAAGCCUGAUGCAGCAACGCCGCGUGCGGGAUGACGGCCUUCGGGUUGUAAACCGCUUUCGCCUGUGACGAAGCGUGAGUGACGGUAAUGGGUAAAGAAGCACCGGCUAACUACGUG